RNAcentral lists this ribosomal RNA (519 nucleotides) under uncultured bacterium. RNAcentral's name for it is "bacterial SSU rRNA". It matches the Rfam family "Bacterial small subunit ribosomal RNA", at positions 26 to 518 of the family's 1533-position model. The record is from RNAcentral.
AGGACGAACGCUGGCGGCGUGCCUAAUACAUGCAAGUCGAACGGUCUUUCUAUGGAAGCUUGCUUCCACUGAGAAGAUAGUGGCGAACGGGUGAGUAACACGUGGGUAACCUGCCCAUAAGAGGGGGAUAACAUCCGGAAACGGGUGCUAAUACCGCAUAGUUUUCUUGAUCGCAUGAUCGGGAAAGGAAAGACGGCCUUUGUGCUGUCGCUUAUGGAUGGACCCGCGGCGUAUUAGUUAGUUGGUGAGGUAACGGCUCACCAAGACGAUGAUACGUAGUCGACCUGAGAGGGUGAUCGGCCACAUUGGGACUGAGACACGGCCCAAACUCCUACGGGAGGCAGCAGUAGGGAAUCUUCCGCAAUGGACGAAAGUCUGACGGAGCAACGCCGCGUGAGUGAAGAAAGGUUUUCGGAUCGUAAAACUCUGUUGUCAGAGAAGAACAAGUUGGAGAGUAACUGCUCCAGCCUUGACGGUAUCUGACCAGAAAGCCACGGCUAACUACGUGCCAGCCGCCGC